This 1523-nucleotide long non-coding RNA is filed under the name Sus scrofa (pig). RNAcentral's name for it is "lncRNA (ENSSSCG00055012438.1)". The record is from RNAcentral. Lineage: Eukaryota; Metazoa; Chordata; Mammalia; Artiodactyla; Suidae.
GGAUCCGGUGUUGCUGGGAGCUGUGGUGUAGGUUGCAGACGUGGCUUGGAUCCUGUGUUGCUGCUGUGGCUGUGGCAUAGACCGGCAGCAACAGCUCCAAUUAGACCCCUAGCCUAGGAACCUCCAUAUGCUGCAGGAGCGGCCCUAGAAAAGGCAAAAAGACAAAAGAAAAACAAACAAACAAACAAAAAACUACAGGGAGUUUCCUUUGUGGCUCAGCAGUAAUGAACCUAACUAGUAUCCAUGAGGAUGAGGUUUCCAUCCCUGGCUUCGCUCAGUGGUUUAAGGAUCUGGCCUUGCUGUGAGCUGUGGUGUAAGGCCAGCAGCUGCAGCUCCGAUUUGACCUCUAGCCUGGGAACUUCCACACCUGUGGCAUAUAGAAGUAACCAGGCUAGAGGUUACAGUCACAGCUACAGCUAGCUGCCAGCCUACACCACAGCUCAUGGCAACACCAGAUCCUUAACCCACUGAGCGAGGUCAGGGAUUGAACCCACAUCCUCGUGGAUACUAGUUGGGUUUGUUUCCACUGAGCUACAAUGGGAACUCCUGGAAAAGAAUUUUGUUAAAAAAGAAUAUAGAAUUCUAACUGGAGUGGGGGAAAAUGAAUCUAGUUGAAAGAUAUAUGAGGGUACAUUAAUCAUACAAUUCUUGUAGUUUUGAAAUUUUUCAAAAUAAAAAGGUGGGAAAAACAAACAAACCACCUUCACUCUACCCAUAUGUUCCUCCAGCUGUCAUUUCACCUUCUAAGUAUCACAAAGAUUCCUCAGAGGUGUCUCUGUUCUAUGUGCUAGUUAAAUGCUUAAUAACUGGCCCUCCAAACAAACAAGAAAGCCCCUGAUUUGUAGUUUUUCUCAAUUCCUAAGGUGUAACUACUUCUGCUAUGGCCAAUUUCAGGCUACUAAAGUGGCGUCAUUAAACAUGGAACUGGUAAGAGAUGCAGCACGCCUAACAUGGUUGAGUUUUUUUGUAAACCAACCAUGUUUUUGGCUGCCCCUCGGCACAUGGAAUUCUUGGGCCAGGGAUCAGACCUUACCCACAGUUGCGACCUCUGCAGUAGUUGUAGCAAUGCCAGAUCUUUUUAACCCACUGUGCUGGGCCAGGGAUCAAACCUAUAUCCUGGUGCUGCAGAGAAGCCUCAGAUCCCAUUGCACCACAAGGGGAACUCCUAAUAUGAUAUUUCCAGCCUAGAGAUGUGAUAUAUAUAAAUAAUCUUGGUAGCAUAGGUAGUAACAUAAUUGUGUUGGGAGUUCCUGUCAUGGCUCAGUGGUUAACGAAUCCGACUAGGAACCAUGAGGUUGCGGGUUCGAUCCCUGGCCUUGCUCAGUGGGUUAAGGAUCUGGCAUUGCCGUGAGCUGUGGUGUAGGUCACAGACGCGGCUCAGAUCCCGCGUUGCUGUGGCUCUGGUGUAGGCUGGUGGUUACGGCUCGGAUUAGACCCCUAGCCUGGGGACUUUCACAUGCCGUAGGAGCAGCCCUAGAAAAAGNAAAAAAAGGAAAAAAAAAAAAAAAAAAAAAAAAAAAAGU